AUGGGUGGGUCAUCUUUCAAGAUCUAAUCAUCCCCUCAUUCCUUCCAGGUUUUCUAAGCUUUCAACACUCCAGAGUUUACUCUCAUGAUCACUGUGCUGUGGGGCUGGGAGUGCUUGCUUUCUGGGGGGAGAGUAAACAUACUGAGCUACUAGGACGGCAGGACCCACCAAAGAGACCAGAUGUGCUGGGGCAAGUCCACAUCAGAGCUAGACCUUGAAGGAGGUCUAGGAGGUUUGGGGGGCAGGGAGAUCAGGGAUGGGCCUGAGGACUGGGCAGGAGGCAUCCUCUCUUUACCAAGCGUUCCUGGACAGCGACAAGCCCAAGCUCACUGGCGAGUCUGGACCGAGCCUUGACCCGAGGCUUCCUGAAUUCCAUCCUGCUAUUCUCCAGCAGGUGUUUCUGGCCCCUUUGCCUUAAGGGGGCCUCAGGUUUGGGAAAGUAAAAGUGAAUAUAUCCUUAGCAAACAAGCCUCCAUAGCCAAGAGCUGGAAAUAGGAUGGCAGGGAGGGCCACUGUUCUGAGAGCCCUCGCCAUUCCCCGGUCCAGCCUGCGAGGCUUUGCGAGCAUCCCCUGGUUCCCAAGCUCUCCCGGGAACGUGGCCGGAAGAGGAGGUUAAUGGGAUGCCUGGCGAGGUGGAACUUAACAGUUUUUAAUCAGGACAAGCUGCCAGCCACCUUUCCUUUGUAGAGUGGAGACAGCAAAACUCCGUGAAGCAGAACUUCUUUAUUUGGGGAGAGCCGACUGACUGAUUCCUCCUCGUUUCAUUCAUAUUUCAAUGGGAGCCUAUCGUCUUCGUCAUUGUGGCGGACACACCGUAACAGAUUGGAUCUGUCAAGCCAGCCCCCAAUCCAACAGCUGAAAGCACAGAGGGUGUUCUUUUGUUCGCAAAUGAGCUGGGUGAUUCUGCUUAUCUCAACCAGCCUCGGUCCUGCCUCUGCACUCACCCUGGGGCUGGGUGCACAGUUCUGCGGAUCUUGGCUGGGCUCUCUUGUUUGGAGUGUCAGCUGUGGCUGGCUGGGACAACUGGGUCUUGUGCCAUGAUCAACCUCUGCGAAGAUCAAGGAUGUUCUUCCGGCAGACUAGCCUGCAGUUGCUUGCACGGGGGCUGGGCUCCGAGAGAGUAAACAGAAGUGCACGAGGCCUCUUGAACUUGGGAGCAGACUCAGUUCCUUUUGAACCUGGAGAUGACUGUGGCCUCAGCUGACACUUUGGUUGCAGCCUCUUGGGAAAUCGUGGAGCAGAGGAACAGCUAAGCCGCAUCCUGGCUCUCGAUCUGCAGAAACUGUGAGAUAGUAGAUGUGUGUUGUCUAAUUGCUAAGUUUGGGCCCAUUUGUUAUGCAGCGAUAGCUAGCUAAUACACCUCUCCCCGAACUCCUGGAUGUGCAGAGCUCCUUCCCAUCUGAGGUUCUCUCUGGGUUGAGGUGGCUUGGGUGGAGAUCAGAGGGCAGGGAAGGGCAUUUGGUGGUGUCCCAGUGGGGGCUUAGUCCUAAGGAAAGAGGGAGGGGCAGGAUUCUAAUGCAGGGCUCGCUGGGGAUAGAAGUCCUACCUCACUCUCUUUUCCUGGCAUGUUGUCUAGCCUGGUGAUUGGGACCUGAACUCCUGCAUGAAUGCCAACUGAAUGAGUGUUACCUUGAAGCCCCACUGGGGUGUGCAAGGACCUGCCUUAGGACCAGCAGGGUCAAGGAAGCAGGAUUACACAAAACCAUUGUCCAACAUCACCACAGAGGCCAGCAGUGAGACUCCCUCGGCCACCACCCAGCCCACAGUGCCGAGAAUAGUACCGCGUGGACAGUCGGUGCUCAAUUCAUACUGUCAGUGGAAGAUCGCGGGAACUGGAUGCCGGGCAGGCGGUGACCCGAAGGGCUCCACGGAGGGCCGGGAGCGCUGCUUUGUGCUGGGCGUCUCAUGGCACUGGGGACACCAGCAGUGACCAGGACAGACCCAGCCCUGUCCUCCCAGUGCUCCUGAUCUGGGCAGGGCAGAGGGACACGUGCCUGGGCAGUGGUGACGUGAGUCCUGAGAGCGAUAACGCGGGACACACAGGCAGCCCAGAGGAGGCCCCGGAGGCUAGAGAGUCCACGGAAUGUUGUGAUAAGCGAGCAUGUGGGUGUGUUCUGGAGGUGCGCAAAGCUAUGGACAAGACGAUGUUUUCAAGACUCAGUUGCAAGUCCAGAAACCCUGCAGCCACCAGGCACCGGCAGAGCGGGGCGUGGGGACACCCGAGUCCCUGGGCAACUCAUCAGUAUCAUGUGGUGACAACGCCCCGAGAAGAGACCCGGACAGCGAGAGUUCAGAGGUGCGCACAACAGGAGGGCCUGUGGACGCAUGGCCUUCCGCUGUGGUCCCAAGUUGGCCUGGUGGAGAGGAGAAGCCACCUGGCUGCCGAUGCCUGGGGCUUCGAAGCCUGCCGGACCCCGGACUCUGGGAAGAGGCGGGCUCUUGAGUCAGACACGUCCAGAGGUCGACUGCGGCCCCACUGCUUCCUGACCAGGUGACCUUGAGCAAGUGACCACCCCUCCCGAGGCUAGGGUUCUGGUCCAUAAAAUGGAGACAACAUAAAUCGUCCCCCCUCGCAUGGGUAUGGGGGUGAGAUGAAUUCACUCAGGGGCACCUGACUGGCUCCGUUGGAGGAGAGUGUGUGUGACUCGUGAU
Molecule: long non-coding RNA, 2652 nt
Organism: Mustela erminea (ermine)
Lineage: Eukaryota; Metazoa; Chordata; Mammalia; Carnivora; Mustelidae
Exons: 4
Source: RefSeq, a predicted model, not a curated record